RNAcentral lists this non-coding RNA (30 nucleotides) under Bombyx mori (domestic silkworm). The record is from RNAcentral. Lineage: Eukaryota; Metazoa; Arthropoda; Insecta; Lepidoptera; Bombycidae.
UGAUUGAGUCAUUCGGGCAGUAUCUGCAAA